GACGAAUGCUGGCGGUGUGCUUAACACAUGCAAGUCGAACGGUAAGGCCCUUUCGGGGGUACACGAGUGGCGCACGGGUGCGUAAAACGUGAGUAACCUGCCCUCAUCUCUGGGAUAACAGUCGGAAACGGUUGCUAAUACUGGAUAUGAGCUUGCAAGGCAUCUUGUGGGUUGGAAAGAUUUUUUUGGUUGGGGAUGGACUCGCGGCCUAUCAGCUUGUUGGUGAGGUAGUGGCUCACCAAGGCUUCGACGGGUAGCCGGCCUGAGAGGGGGACCGGCCACAUUGGGACUGAGACACGGCCCAGACUCCUACGGGAGGCAGCAGUAGGGAAUCUUCGGCAAUGGACGGAAGUCUGACCGAGCAACGCCGCGUGAGUGAAGAAGGUUUUCGGAUCGUAAAGCUCUGUUGUAAGAGAAGAACGAGUGUGAGAGUGGAAAGUUCACACUGUGACGGUAUCUUACCAGAAAGGGACGGCUAACUACGUG
This 486-nucleotide ribosomal RNA is filed under the name uncultured bacterium. RNAcentral describes it as "partial 16S ribosomal RNA". It matches the Rfam family "Bacterial small subunit ribosomal RNA", at positions 28 to 507 of the family's 1533-position model. The record is from RNAcentral.